Molecule: ribosomal RNA, 589 nt
Filed under: uncultured bacterium
Lineage: Bacteria
Description: partial 16S ribosomal RNA
Rfam family: Bacterial small subunit ribosomal RNA
Source: RNAcentral
UGGGGAAUAUUGCACAAUGGGCGCAAGCCUGAUGCAGCCAUGCCGCGUGUGAAGAAGGCCUUCGGGUUGUAAAGCACUUUCAGCGAGGAGGAAGGUGGUGAACUUAAUACGUUCAUCAAUUGACGUUACUCGCAGAAGAAGCACCGGCUAACUCCGUGCCAGCAGCCGCGGUAAUACGGAGGGUGCAAGCGUUAAUCGGAAUUACUGGGCGUAAAGCGCACGCAGGCGGUUUGUUAAGUCAGAUGUGAAAUCCCCGGGCUCAACCUGGGAACUGCAUUUGAAACUGGCAAGCUAGAGUCUCGUAGAGGGGGGCUAGAAUUCCAGGUGUAGCGGUGAAAUGCGUAGAGAUCUGGAGGAAUACCGGUGGCGAAGGCGGCCCCCCUGGACGAAGACUGACGCUCAGGUGCGAAAAGGCGUGGGGGCAGCAAAACAGGAUUAGAUACCCCUGGUUAGUCCACGCUGUAAACGAUGUCGAUUUUGGAGGUUUGUGCCCCUUGAGGCCGUGGCUUCCGGAGCUAACGCGUUAAAUCGACCGCCUGGGGAGUACGGCCNCAAGGUUAAAACUUAAAUGAAUUGCGGGGUCUAGCUG